UUUCUGACCCCAACAAUAGAACUGACAACCCUACCCACUGGUGGAAAAGAUAUGUGGUCACAUGACACAUAGGGGUGUAUUAAGUAUGCUUUUUGGCGGGGUGGAUGAUUAAACUUGUCUCUGUGUGGAUGUGUGAAGAUAAGACCUGAAGUUGCUGAUCAUACUUUCCUCUGGGACAUUCAGGAGGUCAUUAAUCCACAAUGUCUGAAGAAGACAUCGAGGCAGUGAUGCAGGAGGUGGGUAAGUAAUGGCUUUAAAGCAUUUACUGUUUUCAAAAAAUCGUCACUUCCAAGCUUCCACCGGUAGAUGUAGCUGACCUGAUUAUGUCUAUUCAGAGGUAGAAACCUUUCAAGAGGAAGGUAAGGACUUGUGCACGGCUUUCUGUGUGUGUGUGUGUGUGUGUGCGCUGUUCUUACAGUGUGUGCUGUCAGCGAUGAAAGCCACAGUGUGACAGCUGGAUGUGUUUUCUGUCAGAAUAUUAACGCACUUCAUUUGUCAAUGCUGAGAGGUCGACUCAUGUACUAUAAAUGUCACUUUUGAGGCAAAGCAAGGCUCAAUCCCAUUUUUAGCAGUUGUACAUCUGUGCGGUUUAAUGUCCUGAUGAACAUUGCAUGAAGGUUUUCUAAAGUGGCUGUCAAGUUAAGUUUGACUUCACAUCGGUUUUUUUGCACCUAUGACGUUCAGUAGAUGGCGAUGCAUGUGAUAGAUGACGGUAGCUCAGUGGUAGAGUGAGUUGUCUUUCAAGGUUGUGGGUUCAAUUCCCAGCUCCGCAAGACACUUAACACCACGUUGCUCCCGACGGCAGUAUGGGUAUGAUGUGAUGUGCUGUGUGAAAGUAUGGUUGAAUGGCAAAAAAUGUAGUGUAGACUGCACCAAGCUUUGAGUGGUCAUCAAGAAAAGUGCUAUAUAAAUACAGACCAUACAAAAAGAUAAGAACUAUCAGAAUAAGACCACAAAGGAGAUAAACAAAUAUAAAACAAGCAGGGUUGUGCUACAGAUUCAAUUCAGUUUUAUAUGUAUAGCGCCAAAUCACAACAUACAUUAUCUCAAGGCUCUGUGCAGAGACAAUAUUAUAGAGAGCAGCGAAUGAACAAGCGCUAUAGGCAUCAGUGGAGGGAAAAAAACUCCCUUUUAACAGUCGAUGACUCAAAGAAGAUGUGCAGCCAUCUGCCUAGUCAGGUUGGGGUGAAAGGAAAAAGGGGGACAGAGACAAGAGGGAGGAGGUGAGGUCGAGAUAGAAGAGAGAGACCAGGAGCAGACAUACAACAAUUGUAUCAAGUUAUAUAUCUUGCCUUUGCAGCAAGUAGAUCCAGGUUCUCAAUCCGGUCGAAACAAGGGCCUUCCGACAUGGACUUUGCUAUGUUCACCCCGUGUGUACGGGAUUCCUCUGGGUUCUCUGGUUUCCUCCCACUGGUUUCCCAAAUCACCAUAUUCUAUGUUAUGUCUCAUCUGUUUUAUAGUGUAAAGAUGACAUAUUGUGUCCUCAUGUUAAUCCCAGGUCAUUUCAGAUACAUCUGGUGGCUAUUUCCAUUUCCAAUGUCAUGAGCAGUCUCCUCGCAUGUUUCUAUUAUCAUAAAAAGGUCUAAAUGGAGCGUCGUGGCAGCCAUUUUGACAGGUCACAGUGUGACACAGCACAGGUGCAAAUGAUCGAGUUAACGACGGCUGAGUUCCAUUUAGCUUGCACGUCGGCUCUUUGUCACUCGCAAUAGAGACAUGGUUUAAUAUGAUCUGCAAAUGUCCACAAAUAGCUGGUAUUUUCUCUCUUAACUUUGACCGAAAGAAUGUGUUGUUCAGAUGUGGCAACAUCAACAGUCCCAUAUUUCACCAAAACAAUGUAAUACUAGGAAUACAAAUUCUAGCAGACUGUAUUUUUUUGUCUCUUUUCCUGCCUCAUAAUCAUACGCCGCUCACUGGGUUGUAAACCAGACGACUGUUUUACUGCAGAACGAGUAGUUUUGAUGUUGUUUUCAAUACUGCCAUGAUCUAUUGAUACUUUUUUUCAUUUGCACUGACUGACACCAACUUAACGAGACAGACAAAAAAAACACAAAAAACAAAAAAUUACAUGUUUUCCCCCCCAUUGUUCUUGUUGCAUGUUGGGAUACGAAAACGUUACAAACGGCUCACAGGCUCAGUUUGUCAUCAGAAAUCACUCGCUGCUCGAGCUUUGUGCAGAAUGAAUGUCAGACAGCAACAGUGGGGUUUCAGUGAAUCCUGAGAGACUGAAAUCGCAGUGUUCGGAGUUUGACCGAAUCCCAGCCUCAAGCUGUUUGCCAGAAUCUCACUGAUCCACUAAUCCAUAUUUUUCUCGCUCAGUCAUGGCGACGCUGGGAAAAGGGGAUGGUUUGUAUGAAUUGUUUGUGUCCGUAAAUAAUGCCUUUGUGUGUUCCACAUUGGCGGGGUGUGUCGUCUUUUGUCAUGUUUCGGGCCAACAAUGACAGGUUUUGGUUUAAUAAGUCUGUCUUUUGUUCUUGUUCUACAGAAGAAAUGACACCUAAAGUAGAAGAACCUCCUGAAGGUAAGGACCUUUUUUGUUGUCCUGUUCCAUUAGAAAAUUAGAAAAUAAUAACCAGGCACUGUACAGAUACAGUAAUAGUGAUGAUAAUAAUAAUACACUUUAUUAGUAUGGCACCUUUCAUACAAGGAUUGCAGGUCAAAGUGUUUCAAAAUGGAAGGAAAAUACAAUUUAAAACACAAAUACAACAAUGAAACACAACACAGGGUGGAAUGAAAAGGAAAAGUCAAAAGUAAAAAAGCCUGUUUUAACUACAUAAAACACACAAGAUGCAAAUAAAACUGUAAAAUACAGGGUGGAAUAAAAUGGGAAAAGGAUAGAGUCAAGAUGUUAAAACCUUGUUUCAACUUAGAAAUACACUAAAAAUAGGAGGAAAUUAGCUAGUUGAAGGCUAAGUAAAAAGAUAAGUAUUAAGUCGUCUUUUAAAAAUAUUUAGUGAGCUGGCUUCCCUGAUAUCUAAGGGUAGUAGCAAUGUAGCUUGGUCCUAGCCCAUGUAGUGCUUUGUAUACAAGGAGGAGGACCUAAAUGUUACAGGGAGUCAGUGUAGGGAAUAUUUUUGAUUUAUAAAUGCUCACACUUUCACCUUAUUAAUGUGGGAC
Solea solea (common sole) is the source of this 3114-nucleotide long non-coding RNA. RefSeq lists it as uncharacterized. The transcript is spliced from 4 exons. Lineage: Eukaryota; Metazoa; Chordata; Actinopteri; Pleuronectiformes; Soleidae. The record is from RefSeq and is a predicted model, not a curated record.